GCACAUAUAAAUAAGCCCUAUAAAUAAAAAACAAUAAAAACAGUUAAAUAGUUAAAAACACAAAGUACAGAAAUGGAAAAAAUAAUAAAUAAAAGUAAAUCUUAAUAAAUGUACCUUGUGCAUUAUGGUUUUACAAGAAAACAAUCAAAAUAGUAAUCCCGAAUUCUAAGUGAGAUGUUAAACUGCUGUUAUGAACCCAUUAAUAGCUGUAUAAAAAGCUUUAAAAGACAGUUUAACAGAGGCUACAUACCAUCCGCACAAGAAUAUAGCUGGUUUUUAACAAACAUUAUUUAUUAAAACAUAUAACGUUGUUAUAGUGUAAUAUUAUUGAGGAUAAGCCCAAUAACCUAAGCAAUACUAAGUAAUGAUUCUAUUAAAUUUAAUAGGCCUAAAAACAGCCAAUUAAAAUACUUUAUAGUAAUAAGAAAAGAAAAAAUAAGUACCGAAUACAUGCUAAAAUAAGUUAAAACACUGGAUAAACCACUACAUCCACCUAUACUAUGUAAAAAUAAGUAUUAAAAAAUAUAUCACAACCUAACUAGUAACACCAAAUACAAAAACAACCAUAAUUAAUUAAGGAACUCGGCAAACCAUUAUUUCGACUGUUUAACAAAAACAUUGUCUUAUGUAUAAAAUAUAAGAUAAAACCUGCCCAGUGACAAUUAGUUUAACGGCCGCGGUAUCCUAACCGUGCAAAGGUAGCAUAAUCACUUGCCUAUUAAUUGUAGGCUAGAAUGAAUGGGUUAACGAAAUAAAAACUGUCUCAAUUAAUUAUCUAAAAAUUAUUCUCUAUUUGAAGAAAAAUAGAUAAUCUCGAAGGACAAGAAGACCCUAUAGAGCUUAAUCUUACUUAUAGAAUUACUACUAUAAUGAUAUUCGGUUGGGGCGACCAUGGACUAAUAAAUCAUCCAUUAAAUAAAAGAUAUAUUAAUCAUACAAUUGAUCCUUCUAUGGACCACAAGACCAAGUUACCUUAGGGAUAACAGGCUAAUCCCACUUAAGAGUCCUUAUCAACAGUGGGGUUUGGCACCUCGAUGUUGGCUUAGGGAAUCUAUAUAAAGCAAAAGUUAUAUAAAGAUGGUUUGUUCAACCAACAAUACCCUACAUGAGCUGAGUUCAGACCGGCGUAAGCCAGGUUAGCUUCUAUCCUCGACUAAAAUAAUCUACUCCUAGUACGAAAGGACCUGAGUAGAAUAAUAACUUACAUAAAAGAAUUCAUAUAACUAAAUAUAAAAAUACAAAAAUAUAAACUAUG
This 1255-nucleotide ribosomal RNA is filed under the name Amynthas hupeiensis. RNAcentral's name for it is "l-rRNA". The stretch from base 814 to 1153 matches the Rfam family "Bacterial large subunit ribosomal RNA", at positions 2073 to 2647 of the family's 2925-position model. Lineage: Eukaryota; Metazoa; Annelida; Clitellata; Crassiclitellata; Megascolecidae. The record is from RNAcentral.